UUGGCCGAUGGUGUAACGGUAGCACAGCAGAUUUUGGUUCUGCUUGUCCAGGUUCGAAUCCUGGUCGGCCAGU
RNAcentral lists this transfer RNA (73 nucleotides) under Phycisphaerales bacterium. RNAcentral describes it as "tRNA-Gln". It matches the Rfam family "tRNA". From Rfam's summary of the family: Transfer RNA (tRNA) molecules are approximately 80 nucleotides in length. Their secondary structure includes four short double-helical elements and three loops (D, anti-codon, and T loops). Lineage: Bacteria; Pseudomonadati; Planctomycetota; Phycisphaerae; Phycisphaerales. The record is from RNAcentral.